This 499-nucleotide ribosomal RNA is filed under the name uncultured bacterium. RNAcentral describes it as "partial 16S ribosomal RNA". It matches the Rfam family "Bacterial small subunit ribosomal RNA", at positions 899 to 1397 of the family's 1533-position model. The record is from RNAcentral.
ACUCAAAGGAAUUGACGGGGGCCCGCACAAGCGGUGGAGCAUGUGGUUUAAUUCGAUGCAACGCGAAGAACCUUACCUACCCUUGACAUCCACAGGAUUUUGCAGAGAUGCAGAAGUGCCGAAAGGAACUGUGAGACAGGUGCUGCAUGGCUGUCGUCAGCUCGUGUUGUGAGAUGUUGGGUUAAGUCCCGUAACGAGCGCAACCCUUGUCCCUGGUUGCCAGCGCGUAAAGGCGGGGACUCCAGGGAGACUGCCGGUGAAGAACCGGAGGAAGGCGGGGACGACGUCAAGUCAUCAUGGCCUUUAUGGGUAGGGCUACACACGUGCUACAAUGGUGCGUACAGAGGGUCGCGAACCCGCGAGGGGGAGCCAAUCUUUUAAAGCGCAUCGUAGUCCGGACUGGAGUCUGCAACUCGACUCCACGAAGUCGGAAUCGCUAGUAAUCGCGAAUCAGAAUGUCGCGGUGAAUACGUUCCCGGGCCUUGUACACACCGCCCGU